CACACGACUCUCGGCAACGGAUAUCUCGGCUCUCGCAUCGAUGAAGAACGUAGCGAAAUGCGAUACCUGGUGUGAAUUGCAGAAUCCCGCGAACCAUCGAGUCUUUGAACGCAAGUUGCGCCCGAGGCCACCCGGCCGAGGGCAUGCCUGCCUGGGCAUCACGC
Molecule: ribosomal RNA, 164 nt
Filed under: Agropyron cristatum
Lineage: Eukaryota; Viridiplantae; Streptophyta; Magnoliopsida; Poales; Poaceae
Description: 5.8S ribosomal RNA
Rfam family: 5.8S ribosomal RNA
About the family: 5.8S ribosomal RNA (5.8S rRNA) is a component of the large subunit of the eukaryotic ribosome. It is transcribed by RNA polymerase I as part of the 45S precursor that also contains 18S and 28S rRNA.
Source: RNAcentral